CGGCCAGUCCAGACUCCUACGGGAGGCAGCAGUGGGGAAUUUUCCGCAAUGGGCGAAAGCCUGACGGAGCAACGCCGCGUGAGGGAGGAAGGUCUUUGGAUUGUAAACCUCUUUUCUCAAGGAAGAAGUUCUGACGGUACUUGAGGAAUCAGCCUCGGCUAACUCCGUGCCAGCAGCCGCGGUAAUACGGGGGAGGCAAGCGUUAUCCGGAAUUAUUGGGCGUAAAGCGUCCGCAGGUGGUCAGCCAAGUCUGCUGUCAAAUCAGG
Molecule: ribosomal RNA, 266 nt
Filed under: Microcystis sp. DK101-CI
Lineage: Bacteria; Bacillati; Cyanobacteriota; Cyanophyceae; Chroococcales; Microcystaceae
Description: partial 16S ribosomal RNA
Rfam family: Bacterial small subunit ribosomal RNA
Source: RNAcentral